This 69-nucleotide transfer RNA is filed under the name Cromeria occidentalis. RNAcentral describes it as "tRNA-Glu". It matches the Rfam family "tRNA". From Rfam's summary of the family: Transfer RNA (tRNA) molecules are approximately 80 nucleotides in length. Their secondary structure includes four short double-helical elements and three loops (D, anti-codon, and T loops). Lineage: Eukaryota; Metazoa; Chordata; Actinopteri; Gonorynchiformes; Kneriidae. The record is from RNAcentral.
GUUCCUGUAGUUGAAUUACAACGGUGGUUUUUCAAGUCACUGGUCUUGGUUAAAGCCCAAGCGGGAACU